GGGUAGUAAAACUUAUUAAAACCUAUUUAUUUUGACGGCAUCUUCUCUUUAUUAGAGGAACUUGUUUCAUAAUCGAUAACCCACGAUAGAUUUCACUUAAGUUUCUAAUUUAUAUAUCACCAUUUAUAGAACAAAUAAAAAUAAUUUUUCCAAAUAAAAAAUAAAAAAUUAGGUCAAGAUAUAAUAAUAUUUAAGAAAAAAAUGAGUUACAUUAAAAUUAAUUUUAAGGAUUAUCUAUAUAAAUAUAUUUAUAAAAAAGGAUUUAAAAGUAAUCUAAAAACAAUAAUUCUAAAUGAAAUAAGAAAUAAAUGUGU
Molecule: ribosomal RNA, 314 nt
Filed under: Metaltella sp. CG23
Lineage: Eukaryota; Metazoa; Arthropoda; Arachnida; Araneae; Amphinectidae
Description: partial 12S ribosomal RNA
Source: RNAcentral